UUUGAUAAAGACGUGUCUCUUGGUUUGUUUGUUAUAAUAUUGUGGGUUAAGGAUCAAGAGCAUAUGGUAUAAUGAUUUAUUAUUGAUAAUAAAUUCAUUAUAUUAAUUUUUAUAAAUUGACCUCAAAUCAGGCAAGACUACCUGCUGAACUUAAGCAUAUCAGUAAGCAGAGGAAAAGAAAACAACUGUGAUUCCCUUAGUAACUGCGAGUGAAGCGGGAUAAGCCCAUCGUUUAAUCUUCUUGGACCUAGUUCAAGACGAAAUGUAACGGUAUGGAUAGGUUCUCUACUAAGAAUGUCUAGUCAAAGUCCUCCGGAUUGAGGUGCCAUAGAGGGUGACAGCCCCGUAUGUGACUAGAUAAACUUAGGUAUGUGACCAAAUCCGAGAGUCGGGUUGUUUGGGACUGCAACCUAAAGUAGGUGGUAAACUCCACCCAAGGCUAAAUAUAGACACGAAACCGAUAGCGAACAAGUACUGUGAGGGAAAGUUGAAAAGAACUCUGAAAAGAGAGUUAAAAGUACGUGAAACCGCUAACGGGGAAGCGGAAGGCAGUGUCGAGAUUCUGUGAGUGAGAUAUUAUAUGUUUAAGGGUAUAUGUUGUUGUUGAUAAUGUGCCAAUAUACAUGUAUUAUCUAGCUUGGCAGAAUGCGUCAGAUCUAUUGGUAUUAACAUGAUUAAAUUAUUUGAUUGGCUUGUACGACGCCUAUAUACUUGUAUAUGGGUCCGUAUUUGUAAUAGAUAAUCCGUCAUGUGUACUAAUAUGUAUGUGAUGAAGCGUUAGUGAUUUAUUAUCGGUUGAGAGUUUGUAGUGCUGUGUAUUGAUUGCAGUGUAGUUAGUAUGGAGAAACUACAAAAUUUUCAACAACUAAUGCUAGUAUCUGACGAGAUACCUAACCUUCCGACCCGUCUUGAAACACGGACCAAGGAGGCAGAAUCUAGAGCAAGUUGGAGGGUGUAAAACCCGACGGCGUAGUGAAAGCAAUAGAUGAGAUCUACUAACUUUGGUUGGUAGCGCAUCAUCGGCCAGUCAUUAUACAAUGAUUGAGUUAGAGCUCUAGGUGCUGGACCCGAAAGAUGGUGAACUAUGCGUGAGCAGGGUGAAGCCAGAGGAAACUCUGGUGGAAGCUCGAAGCGAUUCUGACGUGCAAAUCGAUCGUUUGACUUGCGUAUAGGGGCGAUAGACUAAUCGAACCAUCUAGUAGCUGGUUCCCUUCGAAAUAUCCCUCAGGAUCGCUGAGACAAGUGAUAAACAGUUUCAUCGGGUAGAGCGAAUGAUUAGAGGAAUCGGGGAUAUAUUACUCUCGACCUAUUCUCAAACUAUCAACCGGUGAGAACAUUGUUUUUCUUGUUUGAAACAAUGUGUAUGAAUGUUGUUGUCUCAAGUGGGCCAUUUUUGGUAAGCAGAACUGGCGAUGCGGGAUGAACCGAGAGUCGAGCUAAGGUGCCUAAGGACACGUUGAUAGAUACCACAAAAGGAGUCGGUCGAUAAAGACAGCAGGGCGGUGGCCCUGAAAGUAGGAAUCCGCUAAGGAGUGUCUAACAACUCACCUGCCGAAUCGACCGGCCCUGAAAAUGGAUGGCGCUGAAGCGUGUCACCGAUGCUCGACCUCUACCACGAGAGAUGUUGGUAGAGGGUAGAAGGGCGCAGCGGUAGCGAUAAAGUACAAAGUGUAAACUUGUAUGGAGCUGCCGUUGGUGUAGAUCUUGGUGGUAGUAGCAAUUAUAAAAGUGAGUAAAAACCUUUUAGGCCGAAGUGGAGAAGGGUUCCACGUGAACAGCAGUUGGACGUGGGUUAGUCGGUCCUAAGCGGUUGCCUAACGGCUAUUUCAAUGCUGACUUGGUUAUUACGUGGUAAUUCAUGUAAAAAGUGAUGAACUGCGUAGUGUGACGUGGGUCAGAAUUCCGCGAAAGGGAAUCAGGUUAAUAUUCCUGAACCGGGCGAUGGAGACGCUUUUUGUCAGUAUUAUUCGUAAGAGUAGUGCUGCAAUUGGCUUAGCGGUAACGCAAACAAUCUCGGAGACGUUGAUAUCUAUGGCGGGGAGAAUUAUCUUUUCUGUAUAACAAGUCAACUACCUUGGAAUCGAGUCAUUCGGAGAUAAGGUAAUAAGCUUGGAAGAGCACCGCAAUUUUAUGCAGUGUCCGUACUAUAGAUAUCGGCCCUUGAAAAUCCGAGGGAGUGGUUAAAUUUCACGCCCGUCCGUACCGAAUCCGCAUCAGGUCUCCAAGGUGUGCAGCCUCUGGCACUGGAACAAUGUAGGUAAGGGAAGUCGGCAAAAUAGAUCCGUAACUUUGGGAAAAGGAUUGGCUCUAAGGGCCGGGCCAAUCGAGCUAGUAUUGCCUAGGCUAGUGGGGGUUGAACGGGGUCUAUCUAGAUGCAUGUAAAAGUGUUAUUUGGAUGGAUCUGGUGAAGCAAACGCUGGCCCUGGAAUACCUGUGUGAACUUGUAUUGGCAGAUUGAUUGUUGGUGUAGCAGUUUGCUUAAUUGUGGAUUGUUAUGCUGGCAAUUCGGGCUGUUGAUAGGGUUCUUUACGAGUGGCAAGCAUCGGUCAGCUUAGAACUGUUACUAACUAGGGGAAUCCGACUGUUUAAUUAAAACAAAGCAUUGCGAUGGCCGGAAACGGUGUUGACGCAAUGUGAUUUCUGCCCAGUGCUCUGAAUGUCAAAGUGCGGAAACGCAACCAAGCACGGGUAAACGGCGGGAGUAACUAUGACUCUUUGAAGGUAGCCAAAUGCCUCGUCAUCUAAUUAGUGACGCGCAUGAAUGGAU
Molecule: ribosomal RNA, 2767 nt
Filed under: Kudoa iwatai
Lineage: Eukaryota; Metazoa; Cnidaria; Myxozoa; Multivalvulida; Kudoidae
Description: eukaryotic LSU rRNA
Rfam family: Eukaryotic large subunit ribosomal RNA
Source: RNAcentral